UACGAAGGGGGCUAGCGUUGCUCGGAAUCACUGGGCGUAAAGCGCACGUAGGCGGCCUCUUAAGUCAGGGGUGAAAUCCUGGAGCUCAACUCCAGAACUGCCUUUGAUACUGAGGAGCUUGAGUCCGGGAGAGGUGAGUGGAACUGCGAGUGUAGAGGUGAAAUUCGUAGAUAUUCGCAAGAACACCAGUGGCGAAGGCGGCUCACUGGCCCGGUACUGACGCUGAGGUGCGAAAGCGUGGGGAGCAAACAGG
This 253-nucleotide ribosomal RNA is filed under the name uncultured bacterium. RNAcentral's name for it is "partial 16S ribosomal RNA". It matches the Rfam family "Bacterial small subunit ribosomal RNA", at positions 524 to 776 of the family's 1533-position model. The record is from RNAcentral.